Molecule: non-coding RNA, 125 nt
Organism: Triticum aestivum (bread wheat)
Lineage: Eukaryota; Viridiplantae; Streptophyta; Magnoliopsida; Poales; Poaceae
Source: Rfam
UAGAUACUCCCUCCGCCCGGAAAUACUCGUAGGAGAAAUGAAUGUAUCUAGACGUAUUUUAAUUUUAAAUACAUCCACUUUUAUCAAUUUCUCCGACAAGUAUUUUCGGACGAGGGGAGUACAUC